Molecule: ribosomal RNA, 237 nt
Filed under: uncultured bacterium
Lineage: Bacteria
Description: partial 16S ribosomal RNA
Rfam family: Bacterial small subunit ribosomal RNA
Source: RNAcentral
CGGAACGGGUGAGUAACGCGUGAGGAACCUGCCUCAAAGAGGGGACAACAGUUGGAAACGACUGCUAAUACCGCAUAAGCCCACGGCUCGGCAUCGAGCAGAGGGAAAAGGAGCAAUCCGCUUUGAGAUGGCCUCGCGUCCGAUUAGCUAGUUGGUGAGGUAACGGCCCACCAAGGCGACGAUCGGUAGCCGGACUGGGAGGUUGAACGGCCACAUUGGGACUGAGACACGGCCCAG